RNAcentral lists this ribosomal RNA (253 nucleotides) under uncultured bacterium. RNAcentral describes it as "partial 16S ribosomal RNA". It matches the Rfam family "Bacterial small subunit ribosomal RNA", at positions 524 to 776 of the family's 1533-position model. The record is from RNAcentral.
UACGAAGGGUGCAAGCGUUACUCGGAAUUACUGGGCGUAAAGCGUGCGUAGGUGGUUCGUUAAGUCUGUCGUGAAAGCCCCGGGCUCAACCUGGGAAUGGCGAUGGAUACUGGCGGGCUAGAGUGCGGUAGAGGAGAGUGGAAUUCCCGGUGUAGCAGUGAAAUGCGCAGAUAUCGGGAGGAAUACCGAUGGCGAAGGCAGGUCUCUGGGCUGACACUGACGCUCAUGCACGAAAGCGUGGGGAGCAAACAGG